UACGAAGGGGGCUAGCGUUGCUCGGAAUCACUGGGCGUAAAGGGCGCGUAGGCGGAUUGUACAGUCAGGCGUGAAAUUCCCGGGCUCAACCUGGGGGCUGCGCUUGAGACGUGCGAUCUUGAGUGGGGAAGAGGGUCGUGGAAUUCCCAGUGUAGAGGUGAAAUUCGUAGAUAUUGGGAAGAACACCGGUGGCGAAGGCGGCGACCUGGUCCUUGACUGACGCUGAGGCGCGAAAGCGUGGGGAGCAAACAGG
Molecule: ribosomal RNA, 253 nt
Filed under: uncultured bacterium
Lineage: Bacteria
Description: partial 16S ribosomal RNA
Rfam family: Bacterial small subunit ribosomal RNA
Source: RNAcentral